Long non-coding RNA from Labeo rohita (rohu), 234 nucleotides. RefSeq lists it as uncharacterized. The transcript has 3 exons. The record is from RefSeq and is a predicted model, not a curated record. NCBI's taxonomy places the organism in Eukaryota, Metazoa, Chordata, Actinopteri, Cypriniformes, Cyprinidae.
ACACAUGUGUGUUUAUCCGGUGAAGAGUGACUGAUGAAGGAAUGCUGCCAUCAAAGGCUUUCAAUCUUUUGUGGUGGAGCAGGUGAUGGCAGCAUUUGUGGGAAGAAAGAAAGACCUGAAACAAAAAUAUAAAACUGGUGUGAGCAGUGAGAAAGGAGAAAUCCACAGCAGCAUCCUGGAAAUGCGGUUUAGCCCACUACAAAAGUAAUAGAGCUACAGCAAAAAUUAGCAUGU